CUUUUCAGGAAAUGUGCAUAUUUGUGUUAUGGUUUCUGUGAGAAAUACGGGAAAGAAGCUACUUGUGGGAGUACCUGCUGCAAAGGGAAGGGGGACACCAGGUGGUUGAAGAAGCCCAGACUUCUGAGUCCCGCUCCAGCUUCUUUUGUGGUGCUCAUCAAGUCUCCUCAUUUGUAUGCCCUGCUCCCAGGCAAAGGGUUUUUUUCUGAAAUGUUUCAUUUUAGUGAAGUGCUGGAUUUUUUUAAUAUUUGUUUUGCCGAGUAAUGGAAGUGCAUCCGGAUGGCUUCUGUACCAGAUGGGAGAGGGAUUACAGGAACUCACGUGGCAUUAGACCAAGAAAGCUGAGAAAUUAUCUAUGUCUGAAAGAGAGGGAAUUUUAGACCAGAGAAUGUUUGGUGAAGGGAAGAACAUGUCUUUUACUAACAGGUUUUUUUGUUCUUUCUUCUGGAGAAAAACCCAGUGAAUCUAAGUAUGAAAUCUUUUCCUGAGGUAUUACAUCCAAGUAGUGUUUCCUCCUUUUCUUCUGGAAGUGAAUUGAAAUUUUUGAAGACAAAAAGGUGGAGAAGAUCCCAUUUGAAAGAAAGAGAUGAAAUUCAAGUUUCUUCUCACUUCAGGAUGAAUGUACUACUAUGCAUCUACUUCAGUUACUGGAACAUUAUUGCUUCUGUUUUCUGAGGUAAGAAUCAGCAAUGGUUUUGGUAUUUGUCACUGAGUCUUGAAGAUACUCAAGUCAAGAAUCAAGCCAAAUUUUUAAACGAUUUUGUCGUUUAAAUUUCAUUUUUUUCUUCUGGUUCAGCCAGUGCUUUAGGGGAAUGUUAUCUGAUGAGAAAUUCAAACCACAGGAUUAUUUGGUCUGGAAUGGCUGAAGAAAUUGUGGGGGAUUUUUUUGCAUCACAGUACCUCCUGAGAUCUUCUGAAGCACAUUACUGUCUCAUGCCCAUCAUUUCAGCAGAACCUGGAUUUUAAUUCCCCUAAUUUAGGAGGUGACUGGUGAGAAUGGUUUACACUGGAGGUUCCUGCAGAGCUGGAACUGGUGUCUGAUCACUGACAGGGUGAAGACAGGGCUGAGCUCAGAAAGGUCACACCACACGUGCUUCCCUCACUGUGCUCUGCAAAGUGCCAUGGUUGGAACAGGGCAGAGCAUCACCUGGAGCACACACAGAGCCCGUGUCACUGUGUCAGCAGGGACCAUCAGAGCCAUGUUAGGGGCUGUGCUGGAGCCCCUGGAGCCAGCACUUAACAGGCCACAGCACUUUCUGCUAAGUGUUCAGGGCAGUAGCACAGCUAUUGCCUAACAUGUAUUCCUUCUGGAUCGUAACAGUUGUUCCUCUUCAAGGACGUGUGGGUCACGUUUGCUUUACAUCCAAGUAUAUUCUUCCAUCCUUUGUCAUAUAGGAGCUGAAGAUCUAUAAGGGCUUCCUUGUUUCGGUGCUUCUUUUAAGAAGAGUGUCUAAAAUAGGGAGCCAAUACCAAAUUUGGGGUUCUUUUUUAUAACCUCAUUACCUCUCUAAGCAUUGAUAGGACUCUGAUUUGUUCAGCUGCCAGGAUGAAAUUCUCCAGGCUGGCUUUUUACACAAAAGGAUUUUGUUUUAAGCAUUUAAAGUGUGAAAAUGUUUCUGUUUUUAGAAAUAAGUCACCUUUGACCAGAAAUGGAAAACUUCAAUAUAGAAGAUAA
Molecule: long non-coding RNA, 1675 nt
Organism: Cyanistes caeruleus (blue tit)
Lineage: Eukaryota; Metazoa; Chordata; Aves; Passeriformes; Paridae
Source: Ensembl